This 301-nucleotide ribosomal RNA is filed under the name uncultured bacterium. RNAcentral's name for it is "partial 16S ribosomal RNA". It matches the Rfam family "Bacterial small subunit ribosomal RNA", at positions 509 to 807 of the family's 1533-position model. The record is from RNAcentral.
CAGCAGCCGCGGGAAAACGUAGGGUGCGAGCGUUAAUCGGAAUUACUGGGCGUAAAGCGUGCGCAGGCGGUUCGUUAAGACAGAUGUGAAAUCCCCGGGCUUAACCUGGGAACUGCAUUUGUGACUGGCGGGCUAGAGUAUGGCAGAGGGGGGUAGAAUUCCACGUGUAGCAGUGAAAUGCGUAGAGAUGUGGAGGAAUACCGAUGGCGAAGGCAGCCCCCUGGGCCAAUACUGACGCUCAUGCACGAAAGCGUGGGGAGCAAACAGGAUUAGAUACCCGCGUAGUCCCUGUCUCUUAUAC